ACGGCUCAGUAACACGUGGGUGACCUGCCUUCGAGUGGGGGAUAACGUCCCGAAAGGGACGCUAAUACCGCAUGACAUCCUGCCUUUAGAGAGGUGGAGAUCAAAGCCGGGGAUCGCAAGACCUGGCGCUUGAAGAGGGGCCCGCGCCUGAUUAGCUAGUUGGCGAGGUAACGGCUCACCAAGGCAACGAUCAGUAUCCGGCCUGAGAGGGCGGACGGACACACUGGGACUGAGACACGGCCCAGACUCCUACGGGAGGCAGCAGUGGGGAAUUGUUCGCAAUGGGCGCAAGCCUGACGACGCAACGCCGCGUGGAGGAUGAGGAUCUUCGGGUCGUAAACUCCUGUCGAGCGGGACGAACGCUUCGUGGACUAACACUCCGCGGAAUUGACGGUACCGCUAAAGGAAGCCCCGGCUAACUCCGUGCCAGCAGCCGCGGUAAUACGGGGGGGGCAAGCGUUGUUCGGAAUUACUGGGCGUAAAGGGCUAGUAGGCGGCCAACUAAGUCGGAUGUGAAAUCCCCAGGCUCAACUUGGGAACUGCAUCCGAUACUGAUUGGCUUGAAUCCGGGAGAGGGAUGCAGAAUUCCAGGUGUAGCGGUGAAAUGCGUAGAUAUCUGGAGGAAUACCGGUGGCGAAGGCGGCAUCCUGGACCGGCAUUGACGCUGAUCAGCGAAAGCCAGGGGAGCAAACGGGAUUAGAUACCCCGGUAGUCCUGGCCCUAAACGAUGAAUGCUUGGUGUGACGGGUAUCGAUCCCUGUCGUGCCGAAGCUAACGCAUUAAGCACUCCGCCUGGGAGUACGUCGCAUGAC
Molecule: ribosomal RNA, 812 nt
Filed under: uncultured Terriglobales bacterium
Lineage: Bacteria; Pseudomonadati; Acidobacteriota; Terriglobia; Terriglobales
Description: bacterial SSU rRNA
Rfam family: Bacterial small subunit ribosomal RNA
Source: RNAcentral